Molecule: long non-coding RNA, 2926 nt
Filed under: Gallus gallus (chicken)
Lineage: Eukaryota; Metazoa; Chordata; Aves; Galliformes; Phasianidae
Description: lncRNA (ENSGALG00010030057.1)
Source: RNAcentral
UCAAUUCCUGAUGAUCUGCAAGUCCUUGGAGGCUUCUUCGUGCUGUCCUGAGAUCGCUCAGAGUGUGUGCCCAGCAAAAGGACGGUCCGUUGACGUUUCCUUCAGUGAAAUAUCAGCUCAGUCCGUGCUGUGAAUACCACGGAAUCAACAGUGUUUGCCUUGAGUUGCUGAGAGUGUCGAUGGUCCAGGUGAGGAGCAGGGUUCAUCACCUUGGGUCAGCUGAAUCAGCUCCUUCAGUCGACUCUUCUGAUCACCCUGAUAUCCAUCAGGGGUUGCUGACAGCACCACGGGUGCAUCCCAGUUAAUCAGUAGAGACAGUUCCUCCACCACACUGUCCUCCUGCUUCUCCAUUUUAGCCAGUCUUUCUAGAUAUCUAGAUAUCCAGGAUAUCUAGAUUGACAGGCCCCGUCUGUCCUUUGUCUUACACUGCAGACUCCCAAGGCUUCACAGUGAUGAGGGCUACAAAGGAUUCUGUUAAGCUCUUUGGUGACUCCUCCACAGUUUCAUCUUCCAUCUCCCCUUUCUUUCUUAAUAAAAAAGGCACGAUUCAUUGCAUCCUGUAUCCUUUUUUGCGUACACUGCAACAAGCAUGGAACAGUAAUUAAAGCACAGAGAAAGGCAAUGUGACAAACUGACCCUAUUAGAUGCAAAUUCUGAAUGCAUUCAGCAAAACCCCCAAAGAGAUCCCCACAUACAUUCACAGGUUUCUUUUUUUAGCUUUCCAUCCUCCCUUAGAUCUUUCCCCUAUUACCACAGAAUAAACUUACAGCAGCAAUUAUAUUAAUAACAAUAUCACUCAGUCAAGGCCUCGAUUGGUAACACAAAGAAAACACAAGAAAAGAGUUACAGAGAAGGUCACGAUGCUUUCAGUCGAUGUAUACACACUCACACCGCAUCUCUUUCAGACAGUGCCACGAGUGGGAAAGGAACCUUCCUAAGCUGAUGGGUUAUGACUGAUUGCCCCCUGCGAGACGGCCAUCCGCCCAAAGGAGAGCAGAGAGGAGGAACUCGCCGGCGGUGGAUGCGACAGGCAGUGCCAGCAGGGCGUCCCCUGCUUCAAAGGGCACUUUGCCUCUCUCACCCACCGCAGCCCCUCUCCUGCUUUGACCCUGAGAAGGGUCUGCUUGCAAAACAGAACACACCACCGAGAUUGGACCCCUCUACAAAGCAAAACUCUCACAGACAGUAUGUUCAGCCCCAGUCACUGACUCCCGUGGUUUCUUGCUUGACCCCUAGCUCCAUUUCUUGUGUUUAGUUGCUAAGCUUUCUCUUGCUGGCCAGCAGCUCCUCCUUGUAUUGCUCCAGAAAUCACCUACAGGUGGUAAUUCUUGAUGCAGCACACAGGGAGAGGCACACGUAUCCACCAGAAUGCAACCCUCUGUACCCUGCACCCCCAGCUGCAACGUAACCAAUUCAAUCCUAUCCGUGGGGCUGCUGUGGUCAAACUUCCCAUGUUCUGUCAUUCAGCUUUGGCCAUCAGAGAUGGUUCCCUUCCCCCUCACUUUGGCACACCUCCACCACUGCCCCAUUUCCCUGCUGUGUGCGCACUGCAUUCGGUCCACUGGGGACAAAACUGUCCCCGGGCCCUUCCAGGUCCUGCUCUUGUGCAGCUGCUGCUGUUCUCCGCACUUUCUCCCUAUCCUUACCAUCCCUGUUUCUAUAUACUCUCCAAGCCCUCUCCAUUAAUGUUUCCACGUCCCUUACUUGGCUUCCACCAUUCUGUGUAUCGCUGGGAGAACAUAAAGACAAUCUUGCUCUGCUUAGCCAAAGACCUUGGGAGGUGUAAACAAGACCUGCAGACAUGGAGAGAGAAGGAAAGAUGUGGACAGGCAGAUUGUAACAGUCUGUGCCAGACAGACCCUCUGGACAUAAUCCCGAGACGUCCAGCCUGUACCCCUGGAUGGCUGUGAGCAGAUGCUAUGAAGGCCAUUGGAAAGCCCCACCGAACCUGAGGAGGCUGACGGGGAACCAGGGGUCCAGGUGUGACAAAGGAGCAGAAGGCAGAUUGCCAAAUGGGGGAAGACCACAUUGAUGACAUAUGGAACCCAUACAAAGGAACCCCCUGUUUAUCUUUUGACGCCGUCUGUCCUUUGUCUUACACUCCAGACUCCCAAGGCUUCACAGUGAUGGGGUCUAUCAAGGAGUUUUUUAAGCUCUAUGAUCUAAGCUCACAGAUACAUUUUUGCCCAAAGCCUUUCUUGGUGGAUGAAGAAGUGAGCAUGUGCCAGCAGUAUGCCCUUGCAGCUCAGAAAGCAAAGGAUAUCCUGUGCUCCGUCAGAAGAGGGGUGGCAGCAGGCACAGGGUGUUGAUUGUGCCUCUCUACUCUGCCCUCGUGGAGCCCCAUCUGCAGUACUGUGUCCAGGUCUGGGACCCCAAUACAUGAAAGACAGGGAGCUGUUGGAGAGGGUCCAGAGGAGGGCCACAAAGAUGAUCAGAGGAAAUGAGCACCUCCCCUAUGAGGACAGGCUGAGGGAGGUGGGCUUGUCCACCGUGGAGAAGAGAAAGCUGCACAGUGACCUCAGUGCAGCCUUCCAUUAGCUAAAAGGAGACUACAAACAGGAGGGGAGUCAACUUUUUACAAGGGAUGAUGGUGGCAGGACAAGUGGAAAGUGUUUGAAGUUGAUGGAGGAAAGAUUUAAGUUGGAUACUGGGGAAGUUCUUUAUUGAGAUACUGGUGAGGUGCUGGAACAGCUGCCCAGAGAGGCUGUGGAUGCCCCGUCCAUCCCUGGAGGAGUUCAGGGCCAGGUUGGAUGGGGCCCCGGGCAGCCUGGUCUAGUCUUAUAUAUAGAGGUUGAAAGCCCUGCAUCCAGCAGGGUGGUUUGAGCUUGAUGAUCCUUGAGGUCUCUUUCCACUCAAGCCAUUCCAGGAGUCUGUGUUUUUAUGAGUACUUCCUGCACAUCAGGGAGGAUGAAAGCAAACCUAUGGC